Chlorocebus sabaeus (green monkey) is the source of this 92-nucleotide microRNA precursor. Lineage: Eukaryota; Metazoa; Chordata; Mammalia; Primates; Cercopithecidae. The record is from Ensembl.
AAACAUUGUAUUAAGUUGGUGCAAAAGUAAUUGUGGUUUUGACAUUAAAAGUAAUGGCAAAACCCACAAUUACUUUUGCACCAACCUAAUAA